Molecule: unclassified non-coding RNA, 260 nt
Filed under: uncultured Chaetothyriales
Lineage: Eukaryota; Fungi; Ascomycota; Eurotiomycetes; Chaetothyriales
Description: sequence contains ITS2
Source: RNAcentral
AACGCACAUUGCGCCCUUUGGCAUUCCGAAGGGCAUGCCUGUUCGAGCGUCAUUAUCACCCCUCAAGCUUGGCUUGUUGUUGGGCCACGUUGUCACAAACGGGCUCCAAAGACAAUGACGGCGUCUGUAGGACCCUCGGUACAAUGAGCUUUUUAACGAGGCACGUACUGAAGUGGGCCUGGGGACCCGGUCUCUUAGUUUUAGACUAACAUUUUUCUAAGGUUGACCUCGGAUCAGGUAGGGAUACCCGCUGAACUUAA